GAUGAAGAACGUAGCGAAAUGCGAUAAGUAAUGUGAAUUGCAGAAUUCAGUGAAUCAUCGAAUCUUUGAACGCACAUUGCGCCCAUUAGUAUUCUAGUGGGCAUGCCUGUUCGAGCGUCAUUUCAACCCUCAAGCCUUAGUUGCUUGGUGUUGGGAGCUUAUCUUGCCGAAAGGCGGGACAACUCCUUAAAUUUAUCGGCGGAGUCGCGGUGACCCCAAGCGUAGUAAAUUAUUUUUUCCUCGCUUUAGGUGUUAACGCUGGCUUUUCUAGCCGUUAAACCCCCCCAAAUAUUUUAAUGGUUGACCUCGGAUCAGGUAGGACUACCCGCUGAACUUAAGCAUAUCAAUAAGCGGAGGA
RNAcentral lists this unclassified non-coding RNA (358 nucleotides) under soil metagenome. Its description in RNAcentral is "partial contains 5.8S ribosomal RNA, internal transcribed spacer 2, and large subunit ribosomal RNA". The stretch from base 1 to 120 matches the Rfam family "5.8S ribosomal RNA", at positions 35 to 154 of the family's 154-position model. The record is from RNAcentral.